RNAcentral lists this unclassified non-coding RNA (346 nucleotides) under soil metagenome. RNAcentral's name for it is "partial contains 5.8S ribosomal RNA, internal transcribed spacer 2, and large subunit ribosomal RNA". The stretch from base 1 to 119 matches the Rfam family "5.8S ribosomal RNA", at positions 35 to 154 of the family's 154-position model. The record is from RNAcentral.
GAUGAAGAACGCAGUGAAAUGCGAUACGUAAUGUGAAUUGCAAAUUCAGUGAAUCAUCGAGUCUUUGAACGCACAUUGCGCCCCCUGGUAUUCCGGGGGGCAUGCCUGUCCGAGCGUCAUUGCUGCCCUCAAGCACGGCUUGUGUGUUGGGCCCCGUCCUCCGAUCCCGGGGGACGGGCCCGAAAGGCAGCGGCGGCACCGCGUCCGGUCCUCGAGCGUAUGGGGCUUUGUCACCCGCUCUGUAGGCCCGGCCGGCGCUUGCCGAUCAACCCAAAUUUUUAUCCAGGUUGACCUCGGAUCAGGUAGGAGUUACCCGCUGAACUUAAGCAUAUCAAUAAGCGGAGGA